RNAcentral lists this unclassified non-coding RNA (2044 nucleotides) under Leishmania donovani. RNAcentral's name for it is "gene:LdHU3.31.3350(CDS-product:hypothetical_prote in)". Lineage: Eukaryota; Euglenozoa; Kinetoplastea; Trypanosomatida; Trypanosomatidae. The record is from RNAcentral.
AGUGCCUACUGCAGAAAUUGAGCAGGUGCGUUGGCGUCUGACCCAUCCUCCUUCCGGUCCCUCCCCCUUUUCUUCCAUGCUGGUGCGCAGCAACAAACCGGCGGCGUGCCCUUCAGUUGCUUAGCAUUGUGUGUUUGUGUGUGUGUGUGUGUGUCCGUUUUUUUAGCUGUAACUUCUGCUGCCACCUCACCCUCUGCGCAGCUCCGCAUCUCUCUCAUCUCCUGUUGCUCCUCUAUCUCGGUGUCGCUCUGCGGCGGCCCACUGCCCACCCAGCCGCCCGCUCGGAAAGAAGCAGAGCAGCAACUGCGAUGCAAGAGUACUUCCUUUUCUUACUGUUCGGCGUGACCGUCUUGCUCUUGUGCAUCUCGUGCUGCAUCGGGUGCAAGGUGCGGCAACGCCAACGCUUGCAGGAGGGGGCCCUCGACGGACGAUACAACCUCUUUGAAGAAGGCGGCGCCGACAACGCUGGAGGCGCCGCUGAUGCUCCUGGGCAGCCGCCCCGCCCGGUACCAGGCCUCUACCAGGAGAUUUACUAUCAGCAGCAGUACCCGCAAGGUCUUGGUGGCUAUAAUGGAGGCGCCUUUCGAGCCGGAGCGGCAAGCGUGAACUAUGCCGGGGGUCUCCCACAUGGCGACACGCAACAAGCCGUGCCCGCCACGGUUCUCUUCGCUGCCCCGCCAGGGGCGCAAAUCGGUAACGUGAGCCACCCGCAGCGCUUCCCUGAAGCACUAGUGGCGGACGCCAACGGUGCCAGCAACGGUACCGCUGAUGGCGCGGCGGCGGCGAAUAAUCGAGCUGCAAGCCCCCCCGAGGCGGAGUCGCCGUACGGCGAUGCGGACUACGUGCCUCGUGCCUCUGCUACGCCUCUUCAGCAGAUGUCUCCCAAUCGCGCCCCUCCCCCGCCGCAGUAUGCGACGCCGCUGCGCCGGCAGGCUCAGCCAGAACCCUUGGACAGCAGCCAGGAGGGCAGCGGGGUGCUCGACAAAGGAAAGGACUUGAGCUGAGGGUGCACCUCUGCUCAGCAGCGUGCAUGCACGUGAGGCGUCGCUGGCCAAUGUUUUGGUGUUGCCGUGCUGCUCUUUUCGAGCUGCAGCUUCGGUUACUUUCAUCAUGUGCCUAUCCUGCACCCGAAGAACUGUGUCUGCUCCCCCUUUCAGCGAGCGUGUCUUUCUGGUGGCUCUCGCUGCACCUCUCCGCACGCACGCUAUGUUUCUUGUUGUUAGACCUCUGCAGAAUCGUACAUACGAGUACCUGUGUCAGUGUCCGAAGACCCUCGGGGGGAGGGGGGGGGAACAUACGAAGUAGGCUGCCCAAGAGCCGUAGGAUGCACGCAUGUGUUUCUGUUGUUGUUGCUUUUCUUUUAUCUGUGCAUGUACGUGUGUGUGUGUGUUUGCGGCGGUUGGGGGGAGGGAGGCGUGAGGGCGUGUGGAAUCUUUGCUGCAGUGGAGGCCGCUGCCGCCAGCGCGCGCGGGCCUCCUUCUCUCGCUUUUCUCUUUUCUCUCCUUGAGCGGUUUUGUCUGACUUCUACGUGUGGACUGCACAUGCGUAUGCGUGUGACUUUCUAUUGAUGGACGCUGGGCGGUGCACGCCUACCCCACCCCACUCUCACCCUCUCUGUUUGGUUGGCUGACUGGCUCCCCUUUGUUUUCUCUCUAGCUCUCCUCCUCCAGCCAGCAGAGCGUCGUUUAGUGUCGUUGGUGUUGUCGUUGUCGUUGUCUAUUUUCGAUUCCAGCAAACUAUGGCGCUUCUGCUUAUUAUCAUAUGUGUAUGAUAUAAUCUUGAUUGAUUCCUGCGGUCUGCGUCACGCAUGCCUUCUUCAUGUCGAUUGGCAGUCUGUCUGCGUGGGUGUGCGAGUGGGUGUCUGUCAGCUGGUGUGCUUCACAUUAGGAAGCACUUAACUUGUUCUUAUUAUUCUCUCCUCCGCACGUCUUGCCGCUCGUGCGUCGAUGUACGCCUCCGCAUCCUGUUGUGUGUCAGCUCCAUCGGCUCUCCCUUCGCUUGUUUCGUGUCAUACCCCUCUCUUGGUUUGCGGAAGCGAACUUGG